AUUUAUCAUCUGCAGCACAUCCCCAUCUCUGCUUUUAGUCCCAUGUGAUUUUAAACCCCCAUUUCUUCCUGUAUCAUCAGUCUAAAUAAUCCCAUGUAAUUGACAACUUUGUCAAUAACUGGCAGUGGCAAUUUACCAGAAAGUGCAGUUUAAUACCUUCCUUCCUUCAGCCUCCAGGAAGAUAGAUACACCUGCUCCUUCUCCUCAUUACCUCACGUCUCUCUCUGCAUUUCCCCUCUCCUACUGUUUAUUUGCAUAUGUAAAAGCUGAACCAGCUGAAUCCACCUUUUAUUAUUAUUCCAGCCCACUAUAUUCCCCUCCUAAUGGUUUUCACUCUUUUCCCAUGGGGAUGAUUCACUGCCACAUUAGUGUGAAAAUGUGCUGCCAUCUCCUCCUGGGAGCGCGGUGCUUUACCUGCAUGUAAAGCCUCUCCUGCUUAUUGCUCUCUGCCCCAAGUGCAGCAGCCUUCCGUGGGUCCUCGUAAGGUAGCCAACACACAAUAAACAGCUGGAAAGCUGCUGGAGAAAUGACAUACUUGCCUGAAAGGAAGAAUCUGGUACUGCUCUAAGGUAAUGGGAAUUCAUUUCUUCCUGGUUGUUUAUAUAUAACUUUUCAAGUAAUUGUUGGUAAGCCACGAAGAACUCUGUUUUCCUCUAUAAGUCCUUCAUUUGUUUGUUUUUGUGUUGUCUCAAGAGCUGGGAAAGCUGAAGUGACAAAGUAAUCUACCGUACCAUCUUAGUGCAGUGCGUGCAGCUCAGUUUUUAGAAACUUGUUUAAAUGCCAUUUUGAGUUUCGAAGUUCAUGUGGAAAAAGAGACGUAUCGAGUAUUGCUGUAGCAGUCGGUCACUAUAGAAACGUGCCGUAAAGAUAACAAUUGACCAUGGCCUUAAGGAGAAAAGAAUGUUGAAAUGAACAACAAACGUUCAAAGCCUCUUUUGUGCUGCUCAGCUGAAGCAGCCUGCCUUAUGAGAAUAGCUGAGGUUACAAAUGAUCAUCCGGGGGUAAUUGCCAUGAAGCUGCCUUUUUUCUGUUACAUGGUAGGUGUGCAGUGCACUUGGCAAGGGCCAGCGGCACGUUCCUUCAGCCAGCUUUUGCUGCUGUAGUGUCUUGCAAGGAUUCAUUAAUGUGCAAUUAAAAAAAAAAAAAAAAAGCAAAGCUCCCACUGCAUGUUAGGACAUCCUUAGUGCCCACCUGUCUGCAAGGCCACCAAGUUGAAUUUUGUAAAAUAAGCUAUUUAUACGGAACCUUUUCAUUUUUCUAGUGCCGCUUGCCAAUAGCUUUUCUUAAAACCUGCAGAGUUUUCUUCUUUUCUGAUGCUCAGGAGGUUUGUGAGGAGCAGGCAUGGCAGCAGCAUCCCUGCAGGUGCUCAGCUCCAGCAGCUGCCUCCCCAGCAUGAGUCCCAGGGCCCUCUUGCUGCCCUCUCACCUUUGCUGCUGGUGGUUCAGGUGAGUGCUCCUUAGCAGCACCAGGCUCUGGGGCUGUUUCUGCUCUGUAUUUCUUCCCUCCACGUUCUUGGUGGUGCUUAUCUCCUUAGAUGCUACUACAUUAUCUUUCUCAUUCCUUGGGGCUUGACAGCAGUUUGACUGAAUUUGAAUGCAUGUUCAUUUUGGAAGGGGAAAAAAGUCCUUGUGAGAUAAUCUUUGCAAUCAGAGAGCGAAGCCGUCCCUCUAGUGGGGCCCUGCAGCAGCUUUGUUGCCUCCUGGCAUUUGCCCUUUAAUAAAAUGUCUCCUUUUGUCUUCUGUAAGUCUGACAGCAAUCAGCCAGCACAUACUUGAGGUCGUGUUCCUGCUAUGAGGAAAGAUUGCUAUUUGCUACUAGGAUGCACUUCUGAAGAGGAAUUUUCUUCAUUAUUUCAGCUGCUUCCUAGCUGCCUUUUGACAGUGAAAAUGCAGUCUGUUCCUAGUCAACGUGAUAGGUUCAUGGGGGUUUUUUGAUUUCUUUUUUUCUUUUUGUUUGGAAACCAUGACUAAGCUCAUCACUGUCUGAAUAUCAGCCCUAAUACACAUAGAGAGGGGACCAGCCAGGCAAGUUGUACUUAAUAAGGAUGUCUGAUUCUGCUCAGUCACUUCCUUGUAGAGUUCAGGUUCAACUACUAGAGCAGACCCAGAGCUUUUUGGUAAAAAUAUUUUUAAAAGAUGAUCAGCUUCUAAUGAUGUUCUUCAGACUUCCUUUUGCUGUGAUUUCUGUCAUUUAUCAGCUAGAGUUAAAAAUAAUAAUAAUAAUAAUAAUCUUCCUUUUAAUGAAGUGCCAGGUGAUAUUUCUGGCAAGGUGUGAAUGUGAAUUGAGAGCAUCUGAAAACAAUGAUUUGACGAUAGCUGUCAUUAAGUUGCACUCAGAGAAGCAAGACAAAAAGGAGGUGUUGUGCCAGCUUCAUCAAGGUUGGCAUUGUAUGGGAAUUUGAAAGGGUUUCUUUUUAAUCUUCCUAUAAAAUAGAUCUCCAGGAGAUAGAGGGUUUUUUUCUUGCACCGCUGCUUCUAUCUGCAAAUAAAAGCUCCACUAAAUAGGUGUUUUAUGAAAAAUGUUUAACGACCUUUUAUUUAGAGGAGCUUUUCUUUCUCAGCUGCGUGCAAUUCCUGCUCAGCCCAGUGGACCAAUUCAGUCUUCUUCCCUGAGAAGAAUCCAGUGAAGUGCUCCAAGUUGUACGUGCCUGGGCUUAUACAUUUAAAUAAACACCUUGUGUUAGUUCAUUUUAAGGUCUUAGUUAUUUCCACACUGGGUUCUUGUCUUUGGCCCACUGGUAUCCACUGGGAGGUACCUUGAUUAGACUCUCUGAGGAAACAGAACCUGUUUGCUUGUUGUGGGUCUGCAUAAUAGGUAAACUUAGGAUAUCUGAAAAUGAAGAAGAUAAAACAUGGGGAGGAGGGAAAAAGGGAAUCAUUUUUGUUUUAGAAAGAUCGUUUAUUGGGCUAGUAGCAGUUUUUCUUUGCUUGUUGGAAGUAUUUGCUGUAUAUCCUAAGCUCUGCUGGAAAAAAUCAUGCAUAGAAUAGAGGAGAAACUCUGGAUGUGUUAUGGUGCUUACUCUGCUGUUUAGCACUCAAGUCAAAAUAGGGAGAAACUGUCAUAAGAGUAAUACUUUUGUAGGCAUAUUUUCAAGGACCACAAAUCUAAUAAUUUGCAACAUAAUUUUCCCCCCAUCUUUCACAGUUAUUUCUUUGCUUACAAUCUGUGAAUCCAGGUGGAAAGAGGAUAUUAUAUUGCCUAUGGCCGUCUUAGUGUGAAUUGUGAGCCCUUAAAUGCCAAACUACUUCUUAUUUUUUAAGAAGAAGAGAUUCAUCUUCUGAAAUCACAGAUCCAUGCAAAGGCUGCCCAUGUGCUAUAUGGAAAGAGCAUCUACUGGUGCUGUUGUUAUUUAGAGACGUGUGGGUUAAAAUACAAAUAUAGAUGGAAAAUCUGUGUGCUACUCAGAGCUCAUCUAUCCUGCCUUCAUCUUGUGUAAGUGAACUGAUUCUACAAAGGCAGCUACAGCUUGAUGGUGUUUUUUUUCUCUCUGUUGACCAAACUUCUGUCCUUCGCAGCAAGUCCGGACUAAUGCUUUGUAAUUGCUCUGAGGUCGGCACAUCCCCCUGACACCACUGUCAUCCAGCUGCAACUCCCAUGAUCCUACCUCAUCUGCAGAGCUCCCUCCAAAGCACUGUGAGGUCUCCCACAGGUUUCCAUGAUGCUGACCUGGCAGCCCUGGGGCCCCCUCACAGCAGGACAGGCUGCUGCCAGAAGCGCUCAUUCAGGUUAGUGCACUCUGCAUGAGUUUGCUCUGCAGGGGCAGGAUAACUGUGGACUGUAUUAAAAAUUGUUUCCAAAUGAGACAUUCCUUUCUUUUUCUGUGUCAGGAAAGCAUUAAGACUUAAUUAAAAGAGAAAUUUGAACUCAGAGAAAUUCGUACUGAUCAUUGCUCCUCUGGUGUAUUAAUUUCCAGUGUUGAAAGAGGACAAAUACCAAAAGGGGAUGACAUGUCAAAAUUUUAGUGGAAUCACUUAGGAAUGGUAAAAUCAGGUCUUCUGAUUAAGUGACUCUUUCAAUAGUGUUGUACAUGAGAGGGUAAAUCAAACACUUGUUUUCUUUUGCCUUGCUGCCCGUGAGCAGCAUCAAGCAAAAGUGUCACCCAUCCUUUGUCUCUUCCAAAAUGAAGUGUUUCUCUCCACAGAGGAGCCUCCGGUCUACUGCUACAUGCCUGUUCAGUUUUAGGGGUUAAAUACAGCCUGUGGUUUUAGAGGGUAAAUAAAUCUGUGACUUCUUAGUUGUAACAAACAACUGUGACUGCCACCAGAUUUGGCAGGAGAGAAUACGCUAUCAAGGCUGUUGUGAACUUAGAAUUGGCAGUAGGGGAGAGCGAGCUGUAUUUAAGUAUUUUUAAAUAAGAACAUGUCCCAAACAUGAAGAUAUGAGCCAGUUUUACAGACUAGGACUGCCAGUUAUCUUUGUGUCCAGUUUCAUGAGGAUGUUUUCCAAAGAAGAAUGUCAGACUUAAAAUAACAAGAGCAUAUGAACUAGGUAUAGCAAUCUGUGUUCUUGCCUUUUGGCCCAUUCCUUUCUAUCUGUAACAAUCUAUGUAUUCUCAUUGUAGAUUAGAUGCGGGUUCUUGGAGAUGCACACUCCUCUUUUCCAUGGGUAAAGCUCCAAGUCUCUAGUUGCCACUGUAAUACAGAUAAUAAUAAGAGCAUAAUCAAGGUUGUAUUUGUUUUGUGGUUAUUCUGAACUCUGGAGGCUCACAGUAAUUAUAAUACCAUUAAAUACUAAUGGCAAAAGAUUUAAGGGUAGAUCAUGAGACUCGUGGAAGGAGAUGAAAAUGUUGCUCAGUACCCCAGGUACUGCAUUCCUCUCCUUUAUAGCAAAAUACCAACUUAAUAUAAUUUCCAAACUGUUGGAGCAUAGAUCAGCUCCUCUUUGCUAAGGGCAAAGCAGGCCGUAUAAAAGGCAGGUUGAUGUGGGAGAAACUGGGCAGGAAUCAACUCAGUCACAAAAAUCAGUUCUCUGUGAUUUUGGAGCAUUGCAUCUCCCUCCAUGUAAGCGUCGGAGAAAUUGCAUUGAGUGCUCAGAGAUAGGAAUGUAACUAUGAAGAAAGCAAGUCUUCUGUAUGCCUCAGUAUUCCUCUCGCCGUGAUAUCUGAUUGCUUUAUGAAUUGUACAGCCAGGGUUAUGACUCCAUUUCAAAAACUUGUGGAGUGUACUGAUGUGAAAGCAUUGUAUGACAUGGUUCUGUGACCCAGCCCUUUGCCUCCUGCAGCUGUAUUCAGUACCAGCAUAGUGAUUUGUUUGCCAGUGCAGUGUGGUGUCUGUCUCCUGUCCUUCAUCAUAAUGUGUUCACAGUGUGAAGCUCCUUUCACGUGCUUGACUAUGUGUAAACACAAGGGAUAAGUGCAUCUAGGAACCAGGUAAUGGAAUUAGUUGUGCUAAGACUUAAGGUGCCAAGGCCCCCAUGUGAGGUAGACGAGCUCCUAGCCAGUCCAAAUAGGACGAGAGCAUCCAAAGGGAAGGAGCAGUGCAUGAUAAAUACCUCUCCUUUGGCACAAUUACAGUAGGCUCGUAACAAAUGUGAAAAAUGCAAUUUUCCUGCAGCUUUUUAAUUUCCUACUAAUGCCUUUCACGGAUGUAAAAAAUGUUUGUUUGGGUUUUUUUUUUUUUCAAAUCAUUAUCAUUUAAAGCCGUAUGAAUUUGAAAGCUCCUACAAGGUUACAAAGGUUAAUUAAAAUAUCUAUAUUAACUGUUCCCAAAACAUAUUAUGUUUGAUUUUUUGUUUUAUUCCUCUGCCUCCUCUUUGCCUUGUGUAUCAUAAAGUUUGCUGACUAAGGGCCAAUGGACAGGACUUACAAACUAUUUUAAUUUCAAUAGCACUCUGGCCUGCAUCAGUAUUCAGGAUGUCAUGCUUAUCUUCAUCUGAUAUGAUGUGUUGACUUGGAAACCGAGCAAGGUGUGGACACAAAAUAAUUUAUUGAAUUAAAUAAAAUCGUAACUACUGAUCAGUGCUUCUGCUGUACUGCUUUGCCAAUUAAAGCAGAAGUCCUUGCUGUUACUGCAUGGGAAUCUGCCGUUUAUCAACUGCCUGCAGACCAUCAGCCCUGUUCCACAUGGUGUGCUCUGCAGUUCUGCCUGCAGGCCAGCAUGGCACAGGGAAAAGCAGGGCAGCAUCAGGCUCAGGAGCUGCGCAGACCCAGCGUGGUGUUACCCACCGCAGUUGCAAUGCAGAUGUUACAUGCAUGAGAUCCUUCACGCCUUAUAACAUUUGUUUAGGUUCCCAGCAUGCAGCAACGUGCUGUCUGCUCCUAUGUAUUUAUGUCUGUUAUGCUCACAGGAAGGAAUGUGCUUUACUUAGCAGCUUAACCUGUAGGAAUUCGAACAGAUUCUACUUUUUUGACCUCUGCUUGUUUUUCAGGUCUGUAGCACUGUCCGUCCCUCUCUGCUCUAAGGCAAAUUCUAGUGAGAUGUCCAUGACUUUUUGGUACCUUCUGUCAUUUUCAGUUGUUAAUAACCUCCUUUCAGCUGUUGAAACUGAGGCAUUCUUCUGCAGUUAACUGUGAGAUAGCCACAUUAAACUCUGUGGGGCUGAGCGAUACUAUGGAGCUCAGGAGAGAUUUUAAUAGGUUCCUGGGCUCUCCUAAGUUCCUGUGUCUAAUUUAAACCAAAGCAGCACAUCCAUACCCUCGUGUACAGGCAUACCUUGGAUGCUUCAACCGUGUCAGCUUAUGUUGAACAAUGCACCUUUGCCCAGUCUGUAUGGAAACACACAGUGCUGACGUUUGGUUUCUCUUUGUGUAGCUACUUUUCCAUUUAGAGACAAUUUUAAGGCCUUGCUCUAAUUUUGCCGAAGGAAGCCAAGAUGCAGACAUUAAAUCUGGUCUUAAUUCAGGGUUGUUACGGCCAUCUUGAUGCCCACUUAGGCAGGCAUGAAUUAAAUAAGCUGACAUUCAGCCGUUAAAGUUUCUUUUUGUGUGUGCGUGAUACAAGUCCUGGUUUUCUAGCAAUCCUUAAGGUUUCUAUACUAGUAAUGGUAAAUCUGGAUUUCUUGAGAAGGUUCUCAAUACGUGAGCCAUGUACUGGUAGACACAUUCACGGGCAGGUUUGUGCCUUCUAAAGCGUUUGGAAAGUGUGAUCCAAAGAGGUAAAAACUAAGCAGAGAAACUCAUUCAUCAGCUCAUGUCCUGCAGCGUGCCAUUUGCGUAUGCAGCAGAAGUGGAGCUGAGCCAAAGAGCAGCUGAGUUUGUGGACGGCUUUGAAUCCAAAGUCACGACGGGACCUGCUGGGAUGUCUAGGAUCCUCCCCCAGAGCAUUAAUGAGAAAGAGAUGCCAUCUGGAAGAAUUUUCUUGCCAAGAUAUUGUGAUGCCAUCUUUGUCCUCCGAUUCUCAUCAAUCACAAAUGGCUUUUAAACAGAUUUGUAUUUUACCUUCCGUCAAAUGAUUUCAUCUUCUCAGCUCCUAUGAACACUCUCUUUGACCUUUCAAUAGACUCUUUUAGGAGAAGACUUUUUAUUUCUGAUAAGACACGUUGGUAGUGAUAAUCUGUCACUUCUUUCCUUUGCCUGCAUCGGUGUAUCUCCCCUUUCAUCUCAGCUGACUCUUCCACUCCUCCUCUUAUCCCACUGAAUUUUGUUUCCUCUUCCUUUACUGUAGAUACGAAAAAGCUACUUGAUUUUUUUAAAAAUUAAUUAAAUGUAAAUGAAUAGUACAUUCAGUAGUACCAUCAUCAGUUUUAUUGGCGUGGAAUCGAGUCGUUUGUAUAUUGUUCCUUCAUUUCUAAUUCACCUCUGUUUAAUUCAGUAUUAACUUUCAAAUUGGACAAUCCAUACUGCUAUGAUGAGGCUGGUUUUAUGCAGCUUAUAUUUUAGAGGGUUUCUUGUAUUACACCCAUAGGAGCUACAAUCAUUUAUUUAAGUAUAGGUCUAGCUUUGAGAGCUUUCUAGGCCACAUAAUCCCAGCUGUGCACUUUUAAAUACUGUGCUGUGUAACUCCACAGUGAAAUAACGGCAGCGUUUAAAUCAUCACUGUCUACACAGUGUCUAGAAUGUGUUUGGGCUUGUUUAAAAGGAAAAAAAAAUCAGGAAAGUAAAUCAAUUCAUUCACUAGAAUGUUUCUAACACCUCAUACUGGGGAACAGCGAUCCAGCUGAGGUUGUUAUGCGCCUUACCUGUACAUUUAAAUGAGGCAACCCGUCUGGAAGAUCUGCAGCUGGAGUGCACAGCACAGAGAAGGGAAGCAGGGCAGACCUAACGCUGUUACAGAUGGGAAACUGAGACACAAAGGCAUUAGAAGUGGUUUGUAGCUGAGCUGGGAGUUAACACGUGUGUCUGGUUCUACCUCUGAAAACAUCCUUGCUUUUUAACUUUCUCUUUUGUUCACACAGAAUGAGUGGCACUGCAGCAAAGUUGCCUUUUCAGAACUAUGCAGUAGCUCUGAAAAGGUCUUCAGGAGCGUUCAAGAAUAUGAGAAGCUGUUAAAACGAAUAUCUGACAUAGAAUAGCAUAAUGCCUGUGUAAUGAUAGGAGGGAGAGAGUAAAAAGAGGAUGGGAGUGAAAAAAGCACCUUUAGGCCGGUAUUAAGAGUUUGUCUAAUGCAAGCGUGAAGGGAAGUAGAAGUAGGCUGAUCUUUUAUUAGCUGGCACUAAAUCCAUUUUGUCUCUUAAAGACUAAAAUUGUGCCGGUGAGGUCUGGAGACCUUCUUCAAUUGGAUUUACACAGGCUGCAGGGCAUGUAAUCAAUAGCAAUUUGUUUAUCGUUCCCUGGAUCUAUCCACCUUAUUUAGGGCCUUGAAAAUUCUGGUGUGCUAAACUGCUUCCAGAUUCCUGGGUCCCUCUUGUGCUGCCCUACUGUGGGCUGCGGAGGGCCCUGCAGUCUCUUUUCUUCCCCCAGGCAGUGGAGUGGCAGUGAAGCCAUCUGAUAACCGAUAAUCAAAUCUCAAAACAUAUUUUCCCCUAAAGGGUUCGGUAUAUAGGCUGUGAAACAAUUGCUCCUCUAGCCCAGCCCUGCACCUUCUAAUCUUUCCUGGGCAGUGCAAUGUGCCCUUCCCACUCCCAUCUUUCCUUAGGACAACAAAAACCGUAAUUCUGCUGAUGGAAACGUUCUCUGAGCUGCAGGGCUGCAGAAAUAGGAUUUGCCCCUGUGGCAGUUUGAGGUUAAGCUCCUUUAUGUUCUUGCAGCAGUUCAGCUGCUGUUGUGGUUUAGAUGAGUGCGUGUGGACCCCGAGCUUGGUGCCGCAUCAGUUCAUUUCAGUGUGGGUGUUCUGAGCAUGUGGCCUAUAGAUGAAUAACGCGAGCUGGAGCAGAGGAGAACACGUAGCCACACAGAGCUCUUGCACUAAACCUGAACUCUAGAGGUUUCAUUUGUAUUCAAGUGCUCAUGCAAUCAAAACCACUGAAGCAAGCCUUUGCCAUGGAAAAUCUAAUUUUAUUACGUAAAAAGAAUAUGUGAUAGUUUGGGGCUGGUUGCACUUGGUAAUUAUUACUGUUAAUUUAUUUUUAUUGAGUACGUGGCUCAAUAGAAAAUAGGCCCUUCCAAAUGUUUCUUCAGAAAUAGGCUUCAGGCAUGAGUUUGGACAAGGAGCAUCUGCCUUCUGAUCACUUGGGUGCUUGGAACGCGGUGGCCAAAAGCUGUAUGAAAUGUUAUGGGAUGCUGAUAUAUGGGUUUUUAACCUUUAUUUAAACAGUACUAAUUUUAGCCUUAGAUUUUUAAUUUGUGUGGGUAUAUAUGAAAUGUUAUUUGAAAAAGAAGCUUUUCUGUAAGAAAAACCAGCAUUCAUUUGUAUUCCUGCUUGUUACAAGUAACAAAGAAGGUAACCAAUAGAAAUGAUGCCCUGUGCUUAUUAGACUUGCAGAGAAAUGUAGCUAUUAUCAACUUUUACCGUCUCCUGUAAUAAAUUUGCAUUUUAAUAGGACAGGGUGCUGAGGAAGUCAAGGGGUGAGUGGUGACGCAGUAACACUUCAGCAUCGCUGUUCACAUAAGCAGAUGAGGACUGACAGCCACUAAGUGCAGCCCAUGCUGUAUUGAGGAAGAAUAUAGGCCAUAGUAAACACAAAAAAAUAAAUUCCAGCCUGCAGGGCCUAAUGGAAAACCAGUCCUCUUGAGAGGAAAGAUCAUUAUGCACCACCAUGUUAGAGCUGCCAUCUAUUGCCCUGGCAGUUCUGGAGCUACUGGGUUCUGUUUUGUUCUCCAGGUUCUGGGUCUCUGUACCUUGAAUUGGGCUGUAUGCUUUCCAGGUAGUUCUAGGGAAAUCUGAUCUACCAUAUCGUCUUGCUUAGCUUCAGAUCAUUAGAAUAUCGGUACUAUGCAUAUAUGAAGCAGGACUGUAUGGCUUUCUUCUCAUGUGCAGAAGACAGACUGUACUAGCUUUCCCUAAUUGGCAAAUGAAAUGUAAGGGAGGUGCAGUUUGUCGAACCUCUCCAAAGGCAGGAGCUGCCCUAAGGAUAGUCCUGUCUUCCUUCCUUGGCCACAUUCCUGACCCCUCCUGGCUGCCCGAGCCAGAGGACGUGGGUCUGCACGAGCUGAAAAAUCCACCCUAAGUUGUGUAAUUCAGAGCUUUUGUGAGGAGUGGGAGGGGUAGUAGAGGGGAAAUGUUAGCUUAAAUUUGAUAUAAAGAGAACUUUCCUUCCAGCACCUCAGCAUAGGGAGCAAACGAGACCAUGUUUCUUGGCUAAGCAGAAUAUUUAUUUGCAAAUUAUGAGUAGGAGCUGGGAUACAUUCAAAUAAAUUGAAAGAGCGAGCGAUGAAAUACACAUUUUCUAGAAGUUGUGUUGAUUGUACGUGUACCAGAAAUAAGACAUUCUCUUCAAUGCCUGAAAUCUCUUUUAAAGUGCCUCUUGAAGGUAUUUCAGCUUCAAGCUAACCUUUCAAGGCACGUCUGCACAUUGCUAUUCCCAGCUGCAGAGUUAGGGUGAAAUAGAGGUUGAACUGCAGUGAAUGCUUGUAAAAUUGUAUCUCACAAAUCAUGCUAAGAAUGUUUUCAUGCACGUUCUUUUUGCCUUCAGCUCCAUGGUGACUUCCUUGUUGGCGUUUUUUACAGUACUAGUUGGGAAUUGUAUGAAAGCUACUGAGUUUUCUUGCAAGUAGUUUGCAUCUGUAACCUAGCAUGGUAAUGCUUUGGUAUGGAUUUACCAUCUACGCAGAACUGCUGUGCAUGAUCAGGAAGGGAUUUCAAACAGCUACAAGAGCCAUACUCAAACUUUGGCCCUUUUCAGACUCCUGGUAACCAUGGCAGUCAUUUCUUAAGACAUAACAUUUAUCUUUCUUUUGUUUUAUUCAUAUUAAUAAUGACAUCUGAGCAAAUGUCAGAUGGAAGAAUUUUCUUUAAGUCAGAUUCCAGGCACUGAAUUUCAGUGUUUACCUUGAGAGCUCCAUCAUAUUUAAAGCAAACCAUUUCUGUAGUGUUCGAAGCUGCAGAUGUUAACGUUGUCUUGUUUCAAUUUUAUCAUCUACAACAACAGUACUUAAUGGUUUUAUUCAGCUUGGCAGAAGCAAUAAACUGGACUUCAUCACAGGUAAUGAUGCAUCUAAGUGGAAACGUCUGGAGGUAAUAUAUAUUGAAUUCUGUUUACGUUUUUGUCUAAUGUCAGGCACGCAUUUGUUUAGAAAUGCAUUCGUUACUAGAAUGGAUUCUUGCUGUAAUUAUUCUAAGGAAGUUUUGUAUGUCAUGCAAGUUCUUAAAGUUGAAUUGAGUCUUAAUGGUGACACAGCUGGUCAAUAGCAUGAGUCAAGGAUGUAAAGACAGAAACCAGGAAACUGCACUUGGUUUUGGUGUCUUUCCUCAUCACUCAAAAUGUGACACCUGAGACCAUUGAAUGUGCAAUUCUGGUAACUUUCACUUAGGCAGGCCAUCCUAAUUUGUCUGCUUCUACAGCUUGUUCACAGUUGUGUGGAUUAUUUAUUCACUCGCUGAGAGAUACUAAAAUUGUCAUUUGGGCUUUUGAGGACAAGUAACAGAUGAGACAGAACCCAUGCUUUUUGCCAGGUUUUAUUUCAACCUGAGAUGCUACUCCAGAUGGUAAGGAGGAAGAAUAUCCUGGCACAGCCUGGCGUCCCUGGCACAGCAGGCAGCAUCGAGCUCUUUGCAGAAAGAGAUGCUCGCCUUUCUAGGAGGUAGGAGUCUGGGUUAUCUGGCAUCUUGCAUGUGAUUCUACAUUAAAAAGGAAUUCCACCAAACCACCUUGCAGGCUUUCUGCAGUGUGCAGAGAGGAAUUUUGGAUGAUCUCUUAAAUCCUCUGGUGUAACAGCUCUUCCAUGUUAAUGGCAGUUAAGUAUCAAGGAUUAAAAAGGGUGCAUUUUUAUCUAGGAGAACUCCUCGAGGAAGAACAAACCUUUCACUACAUUUCCAAGGUUAAACAACUGAAUUGAAGGCAAGUACACUGGGGAGUAUGAUAUUAAAUAUUGUAUCAAAGCUCUUAAUGUUAUAUGAAAAGGGGAAAAAAAGAACAACUUAGCAGGCAGAUGAAAACACUUUACCAUCACAGACUGUGUACUCUGUACUUGACAUUGGUGAGACCGCACCUUGAGCACUGUUCCUUCUUGGGCCCCACACUAUAAGAUAAUGAGCUGCUGGAAUGCAUUCAUAGAAGAUUAACAAAGCAGGUGAAGGGGACUAGGACACAAGACUUGUGAGGAGCAGGUGAAGGAACUGGGGCUGUAUAGUCUAGAAAAAAGGAGGCUGAAGGGAGACUUCGUAGCUGUCUACAAUUACCUUAAAGGAGGUUGCAGCAAGGAGGGUGUCAGUCUCUUUUCUCAGGUGUCAAGUGAUAGAAAGUAAGGAAAUGACUUCAAGAUACUCUGAGGAAGGUUUAGAUUGGGUAUCAGGAGGUAUUUAUUCAUAGAACUGGUUGUUAAGUACUGGAAUAGGCUGCCCGCAGAGGUGGUGGAAUCCCCAUCCCUGGAGGUAUUCAAAAGACACAUGGAUGUGGUGCUUAGGAAUGGGGUUAAGCAGUGGUUGGCCUUGAUGAUCUUAAAGGUCUUUUCCAACCUCAAUGAUUCUAUUUAAAAGCUAUACACAGCACGCUUCUAAGAUCAACAGUAACCAUGCUCUUUAGUUUUUCAGCAGCAUCUUAUGAGCUGAGACUGCUUUUGACUUCUGUAUUUAUACUUUUUAAAACAAGAUACAGUAAUUUGAACUACUUAUCAUGUCAGGACUUUUACAACAGUCAACAGGGAUGAUUCCGUUUCUGUACAAUAGCUGAAGAAAAUGUCAAGUACAAAGAAAUGCACAGCUCCCUCGAUACAAAUUAGCUUAUCAUGCAAAUGGUGAAAUAAGGAACUUUGACCCUAUUAUAGUCAGACAUAAGGUAGAGGAUUAACACUCCAGACUUCUAAUUAAUUACAAUGUCUCAUCCUCUUUAUUUUAGCUGAGUAGGCUACUCUUCUAAUUCAAACUAGCAGCUGUCCAGUAUUAAUACUUAUCUGUUAGUACUGCUUCUUGAGCAGCAGUCAGCCUAGAUGAGCGUUGCAAUUCUGAAUGUUUCAAAUGCAAAUUUCACAAAUAUUCAGAAACAUCCUUAAACUUGAAAUACCUUUAUUGUGUGAAUAAUUAACAGUACUUAAACUCUACAAACAAAAAAAAGAAAACAAACCACUCAUCACUGUUUAUGCUAUUUUCUCAUUAAAGAACAGUACUGAUUAUAGUUCCUUUCUUGUAUAACAGCCACACAGUAUUUCAUACAAACUAAUUACAGUAGACAUCACAGUUUUACACCUUUACUGAAAUGGAAAUCCAGAAUACAUUAUGCACAUACCAAAUUUAAGAUGAUACUAAUUAAUCUAAGUCUGGUAUCACAUCUCAGGUUAAACUAGUAUACCACUGAACUGCUCGAGUGAGAAGAUAAAUAUUUAAACUACUUAAUUCUUACGCUAAUUGUUAGACCAUGUUUUAAAAGGAAUGCUGCACAAAAAUUUAAGUCAUUGGCUCAAUUAUAUAGACAAGGAGUCUAUAUAAUAUGGGACAUCUUAUUUCUCCUGCAAUUGACAACAAAUCAAAUAUUGAGAUAUCAUACCUCUAUCGAACACCUAAGAAGUUCCUAUUCUGAGUUUUCAUAAAUUCCAACCCCAUAAAAUGCUUCUGUAAUAGCACAUUUCUUCUCUACUUUAAGGCAUCUGAAAUUCAAACUAAGCUUUUCUCACUAUCGAAAACCAAACUAAGAAAUGCUCUCUGGAGAAAGCCACAGUCUGUCACUUCUACAAACAGUUAUCUUCAGACAGUGUUAUAGGCUGCAGACAAUCCACAGCCACCUUCCCCAGACCUGUUAUGCUUUCCAAAAUGUACCAGAGAGGAUCUCAGUGAUGGAGAUAAAAGAACAUGAGAUGGGUCUCACAUUAAAUUUCUACAGACUAAACAAACCAUAUAAUGGACUUUUAUUAUUCUUAAAAGGUAUUCCUUUUUUCAAUCCACACUACAAAUAAACAACAGACUUCAACUAUCAAAAAAUAAGGAAACUGAUGACAAAGGAAAUCCAAAAUCUAACUUAUUACAUAGUAUUACUGGACUUGUCAACCACAGGUGCCAUCAGUAGGGAUGGUAACGAGGCCCUGGGUUGUAGGAGUUGUAGCCAUAUUGUCCAUAGUAGGAUUGUCCUUGUCUGUGCUGCUGGUAGUUGUUACCCCAACCUCUGUCUGGCCUCUGAUUAGAUCUGUGGUCACCUUGCCAGUUGUAUCUGUCCCCUCUAAAAUACCUGCCAUCUUGAAACCGAUCUCUGUUUCUCUGAUUGCCACCAGAUCUGUUUCUCCAUUCUUCAACUAUCGGAGGGGGAUCUGCAGGGCGUUUCAGGUACUCCUGGUACUCUUUAUCAUCUGCCGUGAACCGAUGAGCAAACAUCUUUUCAUAAUCCACGGGUAUGUCAACCAAGGAAGCCAUUCCAGCGCCGCCAGCCGCCGCCGCACGCAGAGCCCGGCUCUUCCGGUGCGCGCCCCGCCGCUUCCGGUGCCGGCUGAGGGCGGGGUGCCGCAGCGCGGGGGCUCCGCGGGCGGCGGUGGCCUGUGGGUUCGGUUCCGCCAAACCGGAGUUUGGCGCAGAGCGGGCCGACGUGUGUAUAGCGUAGAGAAUGUCAGCGGUUCUUUCCUUGGCGGGUUUUGUGGGAGCCCGGUUCUGCGGCCUUGGCACCGCGGUGGUUGACGAGGCGGUGUGAGUGCACGUGCGCUGAGAGGCGCUGACUUCUGUGUGGGCAAAGCGAGGCGAGGCCUUCCUGGCGGCUGGGUGUACUGCCAUGUGCAGGUGCUACAAGCCUGUGCGUGGCUGGCAUUUCCCACAAGCCAAUAAUGGGUAGAUCUUUAAAACAGAGCGUUUUCUCUGUAUAAAGGAACUGAUUUUUUUUUGUAGAAUCCUUUCAUAAAGCAGUGUUUUUUGUUUGUUUUAGCAAGUUCGGGAUCACUGCAGUGCUUUACUAGAGUCGUUUCCUCUCAGGCAGCAGCAAACAGAGGUUCGUAACCACGUGCAUUGCUAACAGAAAAUGUGACAGCAGCAUCCAGUGCUGCACCGAGAUAAGUGCCCUUUGUUGGAGAUAAACAGCAAUAAUUACAGUCUGCUCUCCUGCAUGACCUGCCGCAGGAGUGCGUUGUCACUUGUCGAAUAGAAAUGAUGACCUCAAUCCGCACGGCCUAAUGCAAAUAUCUGAGCAUGAAUAGCUGGUUCUAAGGCAAACUAAUUGUCAUCGAGGCUGAAAAAUAAUAUAUUUUAGCUUCUGUUUUCCCCAUGUAAUCCCUGUUCUACUGGCUGCCCUUUUAAACUGGGCAGAAACACAUAGGAUUUCAUUUCUUCCCCAGACGUGUUUGGUUCUUGACCACUGAAUAUUGCAGUUCCAGGUGUGUCUACAAAGGAUUUCAUGCAUAAAAUUCAUAAGGUGAUCCUCAAUAAAAUGGUAAUACUUCUUUUUGUUUCUGAGUCUCUAGUCUGCUGUUUCAGGGAGUGUAUUGUUCAUUACAGUACAAAACUUACUUUAAUAGUAAACUUUUAAUUAUAGACUCCAGUCAUCCAUGCAUUUGAGCACAUGCAUAAUCUAAGCAUGUAUAAAAGUUGUUUUGAAGGCAGUGCACCAGUUGUUAAUUCUGUGAGCGCUGUGCUUCAGAUAUUGCCCUUUUACUGAGGUGCUCCAGUCAGCAUUUUCCAUACCAGAGAACCAUUGCAGGGAAUGGCUAAAUCAGGGUAGCUCAUGUAUAAAUACACAUUUACAUAUACAUAUGGACUUAAGGUCUUCGUGCUUUGGGUUUUCUUUUCAUGACAUGUCUUCAUGCCUGCUCUGGGCUGUAACAUCAAGAAAGAAGUCGCAGUCUGGUUGGCAGUUUCUUCAGAUUUCUUGUCGAUUUUUUACUGAGGUUCAAGCCCCGUGUGAAAAAGCCAAAAUAACAGGUGAUUUGUAAAGGAAUAAGACACUCAAAAAUAGAUAUUGGCACCAAAAAGGACUCUCAACACCCACUAAGAGCUCCAUGUAGCACAAACCUACAUAGGUGGCCAAGCACUUAAAAGGUCUCGUUCCAAGUGUUGUCAAGACUGAGGGUUUGAUAAUCCACUCUUGCAAUCUUUCUCCUCACUUCAAGCCUCUCCAGGUAAUUAAUGUGUUGUUUUAGUACAAACCCAAUCUCAUAAUCAGCAUCUCUGAAGUCCACUGUGGUGUGAUAAAGCCUCAAAGGUUUUAUUUUUUUACUUUUUCUGUGUAUUUCAUUAUGUUAAACAUUGUUUAAGCACUGUUAGGUGAAGCUUAAUCUUGUCAAUUUCAAACUGAGAGCUUCUGGCCUAUUAACAGAGCUUUUGUGGUGAGGAUCUUUCUGCCUGAACAAAGGAAUGUACACUAAAACUAACAAAGUAUUGUCUGCCUUGAACAGAUGGAAAAUUGCAGGGUUCUUUUUAUGAUUAUUUAGUCUUAAUAACUCGUAUUGUUCCAUCACGAGACGUCGUGUUUGAUGUUUUCCAUAAACCCCCAGCUUCUGACCCUGUGUGUUUUCAUUAUCCUCAGCUUUCAUUUAAAACAUGUAUUCCUAGCCCUUGUUAUCACAGUGACUUUCGGGGAAAAGAAAUAACUCUUCUGUACAGAAUAACCAGCCCAUGCUAAGAGGAAAUAGGAAAGCAUUAUUAAAGUUGUAUUUGUUUAAAGUCUUACCUUUUUUACAUUUUGUCAUUCCUUUUUGCCUUGGGUUCGUUGCUGUAUCUCAGUACAGGGUGACAGCUGUGGCAUUUCUAAUGAGAAGUCAGCAUGUACUUUGGUAGCAGAAAAGAAAGGAGAACUUUGGUACAUCUCUGCAUCUUUAAACAGGAGGAAUCCUUUUAACUCAGUGUUAAUAUCUACCAGAUAUAUCCACCAAGAAGCUAACGUCCCUUGUAACCGAGGCCUGUCUGAUCAAAGUGGUAUUUGCCCAUGGACAAACAGGAGGAUAAACUGCC
RNAcentral lists this long non-coding RNA (17327 nucleotides) under Gallus gallus (chicken). The record is from RNAcentral. Lineage: Eukaryota; Metazoa; Chordata; Aves; Galliformes; Phasianidae.